CCUGGCUCAGAUUGAACGCUGGCGGCAGGCCUAACACAUGCAAGUCGAACGGUAACAGAAAGCAGCUUGCUGCUUUGCUGACGAGUGGCGGACGGGUGAGUAAUGUCUGGGAAACUGCCUGAUGGAGGGGGAUAACUACUGGAAACGGUAGCUAAUACCGCAUAACGUCGCAAGACCAAAGAGGGGGACCUUCGGGCCUCUUGCCAUCGGAUGUGCCCAGAUGGGAUUAGCUUGUUGGUGGGGUAACGGCUCACCAAGGCGACGAUCCCUAGCUGGUCUGAGAGGAUGACCAGCCACACUGGAACUGAGACACGGUCCAGACUCCUACGGGAGGCAGCAGUGGGGAAUAUUGCACAAUGGGCGCAAGCCUGAUGCAGCCAUGCCGCGUGUAUGAAGAAGGCCUUCGGGUUGUAAAGUCUUUCAGCGGGGAGGAAGGGAGUAAAGUUAAUACCUUGGCUCAUUGACGUUACCCGCAGAAGAAGCACCGGCUAACUCGUGCCAGCAACCGCGGUAUUACGAGGGUGCAGGCGUUAUUCGGAAUUACUGGGCGUAAAGCGCACGCAGGCGGUUUGUUAAGUCAGAUGUGAAAUCCCCGGGCUCAACCUGGGAACUGCAUCUGAUACUGGCAAGCUUGAGUCUCGUAGAGGGGGGUAGAAUUCCAGGUGUAGCGGUGAAAUGCGUAGAGAUCUGGAGGAAUACCGGUGGCGAAGGCGGCCCCCUGGACGAAGACUGACGCUCAGGUGCGAAAGCGUGGGGAGCAAACAGGAUUAGAUACCCUGGUAGUCCACGCCGUAAACGAUGUCGACUUGGAGGUUGUGCCCUUGAGGCGUGGCUUCCGGAGCUAACGCGUUAAGUCGACCGCCUGGGGAGUACGGCCGCAAGGUUAAAACUCAAAUGAAUUGACGGGGGCCCGCACAAGCGGUGGAGCAUGUGGUUUAAUUCGAUGCAACGCGAAGAACCUUACCUGGUCUUGACAUCCACGGAAGUUUUCAGAGAUGAGAAUGUGCCUUCGGGAACCGUGAGACAGGUGCUGCAUGGCUGUCGUCAGCUCGUGUUGUGAAAUGUUGGGUUAAGUCCCGCAACGAGCGCAACCCUUAUCCUUUGUUGCCAGCGGUCCGGCCGGGAACUCAAAGGAGACUGCCAGUGAUAAACUGGAGGAAGGUGGGGAUGACGUCAAGUCAUCAUGGCCCUUACGACCAGGGCUACACACGUGCUACAAUGGCGCAUACAAAGAGAAGCGACCUCGCGAGAGCAAGCGGACCUCAUAAAGUGCGUCGUAGUCCGGAUUGGAGUCUGCAACUCGACUCCAUGAAGUCGGAAUCGCUAGUAAUCGUGGAUCAGAAUGCCACGGUGAAUACGUUCCCGGGCCUUGUACACACCGCCC
RNAcentral lists this ribosomal RNA (1384 nucleotides) under uncultured bacterium. RNAcentral's name for it is "bacterial SSU rRNA". It matches the Rfam family "Bacterial small subunit ribosomal RNA", at positions 18 to 1395 of the family's 1533-position model. The record is from RNAcentral.